This 351-nucleotide ribosomal RNA is filed under the name uncultured bacterium. RNAcentral's name for it is "bacterial SSU rRNA". It matches the Rfam family "Bacterial small subunit ribosomal RNA", at positions 8 to 350 of the family's 1533-position model. The record is from RNAcentral.
AGAGUUUGAUCAUGGCUCAGGAUGAACGCUAGCUACAGGCUUAACACAUGCAAGUCGAGGGGCAGCAUGAUUGAAGCUUGCUUCAAUUGAUGGCGACCGGCGCACGGGUGAGUAACGCGUAUCCAACCUUCCGUACACUCAGGGAUAGCCUUUCGAAAGAAGAUUAAUACCUGAUGGUAUGAUGAGAUUGCAUGAUAGCAUCAUUAAAGAUUUAUCGGUGUACGAUGGGGAUGCGUUCCAUUAGGUAGUAGGCGGGGUAAUGGCCCACCUAGCCGACGAUGGGAUAGGGGUUCUGAGAGGAAGGUCCCCCANAUUGGAACUGAGACACGGCCCAAACUCCUACGGGAGGCA